AUCCAAUUGAGGAGUCCCAAAUAGGACGAAACACACGUCAAACUGGAU
Molecule: non-coding RNA, 48 nt
Filed under: Schistosoma margrebowiei
Lineage: Eukaryota; Metazoa; Platyhelminthes; Trematoda; Strigeidida; Schistosomatidae
Source: RNAcentral